This 134-nucleotide small nucleolar RNA is filed under the name Sphenodon punctatus (tuatara). Its description in RNAcentral is "Small Cajal body specific RNA 24 (ENSSPUG00000000334.1)". It matches the Rfam family "Small Cajal body specific RNA 24". From Rfam's summary of the family: scaRNAs are a specific class of small nuclear RNAs which localise to the Cajal bodies and guide the modification of RNA polymerase II transcribed spliceosomal RNAs U1, U2, U4, U5 and U12. ACA12 belongs to the H/ACA box class of guide RNAs as it has the predicted hairpin-hinge-hairpin-tail structure,the conserved H/ACA-box motifs and is found associated with GAR1. The record is from Rfam by way of RNAcentral. Lineage: Eukaryota; Metazoa; Chordata; Lepidosauria; Sphenodontia; Sphenodontidae.
UGGAUGUUUACGUUUUUUUGUUAGUGUCUCCUUUAUGUGGUGAUAACUACACAAAAGCAUCCGAUAGUAACACAGAAGCUAUCUGUUCAACCCAGGCUAGUUAAUAGGGUUGGAUCGUUCCACUUCUGACAGUC